GGGAUAGUGGCGACGGGUGAGUACACGUGGGCAAUCUGCCCUUCACUCUGGGACAAGCCCUGGAAACGGGGUCUAAUACCGGAUAACACUCUGUCCCGCAUGGGACGGGGUUGAAAGCUCCGGCGGUGAAGGAUGAGCCCGCGGCCUAUCAGCUUGUUGGUGGGGUAAUGGCCUACCAAGGCGACGACGGGUAGCCGGCCUGAGAGGGCGACCGGCCACACUGGGACUGAGACACGGCCCAGACUCCUACGGGAGGCAGCAGUGGGGAAUAUUGCACAAUGGGCGAAAGCCUGAUGCAGCGACGCCGCGUGAGGGAUGACGGCCUUCGGGUUGUAAACCUCUUUCAGCAGGGAAGAAGCGAAAGUGACGGUACCUGCAGAAGAAGCGCCGGCUAACUACGUGCCAGCAGCCGGAGGUAAUACG
Molecule: ribosomal RNA, 423 nt
Filed under: Streptomyces sp. MBT59
Lineage: Bacteria; Bacillati; Actinomycetota; Actinomycetes; Kitasatosporales; Streptomycetaceae
Description: bacterial SSU rRNA
Rfam family: Bacterial small subunit ribosomal RNA
Source: RNAcentral